RNAcentral lists this ribosomal RNA (425 nucleotides) under uncultured bacterium. RNAcentral's name for it is "bacterial SSU rRNA". It matches the Rfam family "Bacterial small subunit ribosomal RNA", at positions 355 to 796 of the family's 1533-position model. The record is from RNAcentral.
UAAGGGAUAUUGCACAAUGGGCGAAAGCCUGAUGCAGCAACGCCGCGUGGAGGAAGAAGGCCUUCGGGUCGUAAACUCCUUUUCUCACUGACGAGGAAGGACGGUAGGUGAGGAAUAAGUCACGGCUAACUACGUGCCAGCAGCCGCGGUAAAACGUAGGUGGCAAGCGUUAUCCGGAUUUACUGGGCGUAAAGGGUGUGCAGGCGGGCGGUCAAGUGGUGUAUGAAAUAUCCUGGCUCAACCAGGAGAGGUUAUGCCAGACUGACCGUCUUGAGUGCGAGAGAGGGGCGUGGAAUUCCGGGUGUAGUGGUGAAAUGCGUAGAGAUCCGGAGGAACCCCAGAGGCGAAGGCGGCGCCCUGGCUCGCAACUGACGCUCAUACACGACAGCAUGGGGAGCGAACGGGAUUAGAUACCCCCGUAGUCC